UUCUCUUUUAUUACCGUCUACGGAGUAGUUCUUAUUACAUUAGCCUCAAACUUUUUAACGUACAUUAUUUAUGGAACACACACCAUGAUUAUGUAGUGUUAACAUACAUCAACAAACACAUUCAUCACCGUGGUAUAUACACUCUCGAGGGUUUCGUUUGGAACCUAGUAGUAGGGCCCAGGCGUGGUCUUCUGGAAGGGACAAAUGCUAACUUGCGGGAUGUUGCAAACUCUAGGUAAGUGCGUAGCGGUCUCGUAGAUACGGCUCACUACUUGCUGCAUUUGCUGUCCCUGCUGUCCCUGCAUUUGUCCCUGUUGUCGAACCUGCUGUUUAACGGCUUUGGAUGCUCCUUUCAAGGUUGGGCAAACGCAAAGUGGCUCUUCCUGGUGGAGCUCGUUGCAGCACUGCUGGAGUAGUGGCGGCCUCUGUUGUGGGCCCUGGGGGUUCUCCAUGUCAUCUUCAAAAUCAAACUCACCAUCGAGGGUCCAGCUUGGACCACUACCGGACUGCAUUGCCUGCUUGUGGAGCCAUUGUUGGCAAGCUUUCAGGUGUUGUGCUUGCUGAAACUCCUUCCUACAUUUUGGAAUCCUAAAUGGGCCGGCUGGGUUUGUGGCAUCUUCAUCGACUUCCACAACCGUCCUGUAGACGGAGGCAUUGGUGAGAAGGAAGAAAAAGGCGAGAGUUGCCGAGACGAGGAAGAGCUUGUUCGCCAUUUGUGUAUGUUUUUAACUUUGUUUGUUAUGAUGAGUUUUGGUUUGAGUAAAGAGUGAAGCUGUUAAGUUAAUUUAUAGGUGAGAAUGGAGAUUUGCAUGGCGAUCACGUGUAAUAAUGCAUGCAUUUGUGUGUGCUGUGAGAGAGAAGCUCUUAGGUGUUUGAAGUGAGUGACAAAUGACGAACAAAAACAGUCGUCCGCAUCUGCAUGCUAUGUGUGAUGUGUAGCUCAUGUCCUGGCGUAACAUCUUAUGAACGAUAUUUUUCAAAAAGAAGCUAACUUCAUAAAAUAAAAAACCUUCAGUAAGUGGGAUGACAGUCUAUAUACUUUGGAGGUAGUGCGGGGGCGGUUGAAAAUAUAUAUUGGGAGCUUAAUGAGAAUUCAGUAAUAGUAUAGAAGAUCUAUUGUAUGGUGAAAAUUAAAUGUGUCUCGUAGACUCGUACAAUAUGUAAUAAAUGCAGUAGAGCCUCUAGUGUAUGGACGAAUGUAUGGGUGCAAAUGCAAAUUAUGCAAUUGUACCCACUAUUUUUUCUAAAAAGAAAUAUUUUUUUUUUGGUAAAAUGUUAAAUUGAAAAGAUAUAUUUUCUAAAACAUUGUUAAAAUCUAACAAAAAUAGGCAAAAUUAACCUAGCAACCAGUAUUUUGUUGGUUUGCCCCCUCUGCUUUCACCAUUUUUUUGUUCUUCUUCUUACAUUUACUUCAAUGAAUGUUCAAAUUUAUUUGAUUUAAAACAUUUACUUCUAUGCUUUCUGCCAUUACGUUCACGCCAAAUAGUGUGUACACCACCAGAGCCGAGCCUGCGGACAGUUUUAUUAAAUUUUAUUUUUUUUGAACAAAGUUCGAUAGUUUUGUUUUGUGAUCGCGUCUUCAACGUUUUAUUAAACUUUUGAAUGAAGCCUUCAUGCUUUAUAGGAGCUCCACUAAAAAAUAAUAUAUAUGUAUAUGUAUUUUUAUUUUUGGUAUAAUAACAUAUAAAUAUUAGCUGUGAAAUAAAUACUGAAUGAAAUUUUGAGUUGACAAAAAUGAUAAAAUAUAUUAUUUAUAAACUUUAUAAAAAUAUUAAUUAUCAGGGCCCCGAAAAUCUCAAAAUCGGCUGGACACCACUGCUUGAAACAUGUAUCACAAAAUGAAGAGAAUGGUUAUGUCCCAACCAUCAUCCACCAAGAGUUGAACAAUAUAUAGUAUUAGGUAUUUAGCAUUAUUAAAGAUAUAGAUGAUCAAUGAUAAAGAAAUUUACUACCUUUGCUAUCAAAGUACUGUUUAUAAGUAAAGGCAACAUCAGUAUAUUUGCAGGAAUUUAGUGGAUACAUGAGAUUGACAGAUGCAUGGUGAUCUAAAAGAGUUUGUUAGUAUUUUUGUUUUUUUAGAAAGGAAGAGUUUCCAAGUACUUUUGCAAAAAAUAUAAAAUAAAAGAGUUUAGAAGUAUUUGACUAUACCAGAUUUCAGUCAUUGAUUGAUCCCAGUGGAUGAUUUUUUAUUAUUGGCCCCGAAUGCUUAUAUUAACACUAGUUGUUUGUCCGCGCGAACGAUGAUAUUUAUUUUAUUGAUGGUGUUAAAUCUUUUAUUAAUAUAGCUUAAAAUAUUAGAUGGUUAACUAAUGUGAUAUCUUUAAAAAAUUUGUUUAUAAGUUUCUUGGUAAAAUGUUUUGGGGUUGAUCAACAUGUUUUUUUCCCUUGUGACCAUCAUGUUUGUUUCGUUUUUUGAUAUACAAUAAUUUUAGAGUAGCUGUUUUUCCAUCCCAUAAUUUCAACCACACAAAUGUGGAUCUGCUUCAUUUUUGUUAUAAAUUUUUUUCUAUUUUAAACUUGUUCAAGUGUAAGGUUAUGUCCACCUCAUUUUUUUUGUCGAUGAAAGGAACAUAUCUGUUCAACUGUGAUGACUUCGGUAGCGUAGGAGGUAUAGUGGAAGUUUUUGUGCACGUUAAUGCCGUGGGUGAAGGUGCUGAGUUCUUUUUGGCUCUGCUGCACACUCUGUUUUAUUGUAUGUGGCUCUGUUCAAAUAUAUGAAAUGAUCCAGUUUGGGGAGGGGGGAAGGUUAUGUCCACCUCCUUCACUCUGGUGUAUUUGAUAAACAGCGACAUAACCACCAAGUUCCCAUAAUGCCAUAACAGCCUCUGUACCCAGUUAAACCUCUAAUCACCUCCAAAGCCAUGGAACUAAUCGAAAUAGGAAGCUUUAACUUAUUUUACAGUAAAGCUUAGAAGAGUCAAACCAUCAAAAUCCAAAAAUAAUUACGAAAUCAGCAGAAGAAAAACUAACAUGCUAAAGUCUUUUGAGUAUCGUUGGCAAAUUUGGGAGGUAAAAUCUACACAAUGCAAGUUUAAGGCCUUUUUGUUUUUCAAUCUUCAUCUGAGAUUCUGAGCCCGACUCUUUGGAACUCGACCCAUCUUGUUUACUAUCUUUGAACCUUUUUUUGGGUCGAAUGAUCCUUUCCUCUUAUCUUCUUCGUCCUCACUAUAUUUGCUUUCAUAAUUCACUUCAUUCUCAUCUUCUUGUGAAGCCUCACCCUCAAAAUCAUUGGUUCUUUUCAAAACCUCGACUUUCAGUGAUGUCUUUCGAUCACAACUGAUCCAAGCAUCUCCUAGGUAGAACUCAUAAGCAAAUCAAAUAAUAAGUAUCUUCUGCACGUUUUAGGCAUUUCUUUAUUACCAAUCUUGAUCGGCUUUUAACCUUCUCUAACUUCAUUGUUCUUUGCCUCGACGCCAUAAUAUUUCCGCAAAACAAUCAUUAUAUCAAGAACCAAUAAAGGUUUAUUGAUCUCCUCAGAUUUGCAGUAGCCACUUACCAUAAAAUUAGAAGAUGUGGCAUCAUGAACAACACCAGAAACUUGAGGAAACCAAAUCUUGUUGACCUGACCUGUCCGGAAAACAAUAAACUGUGAAAGAACAUUUCCUAAAAUUUUAAAGGAAAAGUCUUGCCACCAUUGAAAUACCGCCAACCCAUUAAACUGAUAUAGCAUCUAUAAGAGCACCUGUAACGGGGGUACAUGCAGGGUCCUUAGCGUUUAAUCAUAGGUUAGGAGGAUUAUAAUAAUAGUUGUUUGGUUAAUAGGAGUAAGGAUUGAUACGUUAAUAAGGAUUUUUAGGACUUGAUCCUUAGGGUACGUGGCGUGUUUUGAAUGGAUGGAAGGGUUUACGGUUUGGUUACGCGUAAAACAUUGGUUAUACUCGACCGAAGCAGAAAAAAAAAUAGUCCCGACGAAGAAAGGCGAUUGCUCUCGACGAAGCGAAGGCGAAUCCCGCUACGAAAGACGGCGAUUCCCGCGGCGAAAGACGGCGAUUUGUCUCCGUUGGCUGAACAAGGUAAAUCGCACCCUUCUGAUGUAGAUUAAUCGAUAUAGAUUAGUUUGCAUGUUGAAUCGAUCUCGUUUGAAAUUAGGGUUCGAACAUAAUUUGGGGGUUUGUUGCGUUUGUACUUAACGGUUUGAAAACGAUACUGCUUUCAUCGAUUUCGGGUUCUUCUCGUUUGAAAUUAGGGUUUCAAUUCAGAUUUGGGGCUUUUUGCGUUUGUACUAAUCGGUUUGAAAACGAUUUGCGUUUGUACUAAUCGGUUUGAAAACGAUACUGCUAGCAUCGAUUUGGGGUUCUUCUGGUUUGAAAUUAGGGCUUCAAAAGGAUUUGGGGCUUUUUGAGUUUGUAUUAAUUGGUUCGAAAAAUAUCCUUAGCGUUUCUUUCUUGCACAGUUUUGCUAGCUACAACUCAACUAUCUGUUUGAGUGUAUUGAGUUUAUGUGUUUGUUGUUAAGGAUUACAAGUAGAAGUUCAGUUUUCUGUGAGACAUAAAAAAAAGCUUCCUAAUUUGUUCUCUCGGAUGAGCUGCAAGUUUAUGAUCAUGUGUGUGUGUGUGUUGUUAGGAUUUGUUUAGCUCUGUUCUUAAUUUUUUUUUUCAUUCUCUCUUAUGUUUAGCUCUGUUCUUAAUUUUUUUUUUCUUGCAGGUUAACGAAUAUGGGACAAGAUUAUUCAUACAGCCAGCCUUUCUCAUCAUCAGACUCGAUGGACAUUACCUCCCUUCUUCAAGCAGAAGCUUAGUUGUAUGCGGAUGAAGGUCAGAGUAGCUACAAUAAUCCAGAGCCGGUUCAGUACCCACCUCAACCAGAGGCAGAUGAUGGAAUCCCGAGGCUAUGCUACUGUGGUGGUGAGCCUGUUGUUGCAACAUCCUCCACUCAUAAAGAUCCCGGCAGGAGGUACUUCACAUGCGAGAAUGUGGAUGAUGGAGACUGCCACAUCUGGAAAUGGUGGGAUGUUGCGGUCACAGAGGAGAUGAGCGAGUUGCAGAGACAACUUAGGCUGCUUAAGGAUCAAGGCAAUGCGAGUGAGCAUAAGCUUAUGCUGCUAGAGAAGAGUGUGUUUGAGUUAUCUAACCAGAAAUCAGGAGUUACGCUAAUGAGAGUGAGCAGAAGCUGGUGCUGUCUAUUAGUUUUAAUAGGUUCCGUGUUCUUGUUACUGUGUGGUGAGUAUAUCUCCUUGUGCUUUUCGUAGUUCAUUUUUUAAUAUUCUGCGUGGUGAGUUCGUUGACUAUUUUUUCUCUUUCUUUUCAGGAUUAGCUUCAAACGAGAGUGUCUCAAAGAACCAAUGUCAUUACUAACAAGGUACGCCCACUUGAAUAAAAGCAAUUAGUCAUUUAAUGAAGGUGAAUUGAUUUCUACCGUCGUAACUCCUCGGAUUUGAUCGGUUAUAAAUGUUAGCGUUUAGAAAUAGUGAACUGAAGACUCUAGCUUGCUAGGAUUGUACUAACUAGUCGGAUUUGAUUGGUGAUAAAUGCUAGUUCUUUGCUUCCUAUCUUCCUAACUGCUCAGAUUUUAAUUGCUUUAAUUGAAAAAAAAAAUGUAAAUGGCUUACUUAAGACUCUGUGUUGCUAAUAGAGCGACACAACCAUUCUCUAACCAUGGAUAACACCACUGGUUUUGUUAACCUACUUUAUAGUCAAUCUCCAUUUGAAAUUGAUUCAACACAACCUGCUGCCGAGUCCGGUUCGAAGGAGAGGAGGAAAUGGUCACUGAAAGCGGAUCAAAUCCUCAUUGGGGCUUGGCUUAACACAAGUAAAGAUUAUGUGGUCAGCAAUGAGCAAAAAGCUAGUGCUUUUUGGAAGAGGAUUGUUCAAUACUACAACGCGAGCCCUUAUCUGGCUGGGACUAUACCUAGAGAGCUUGGGCAGUGCAAGCAGAGGUGGGCUAGGAUAAAUGAGCAAGUCUGCAAGUUUGUUGGGAGCUAUGACGCGGCUCUUAGGGCACAGAGAAGUGGUCAAAACGAUGAUGAUGUGAUGAGAGCUGCCCAAGAGUUCUUCUUCAACGAUCACGGAGUCAAGUUCAGCAUGGAACAUGCCUGGAGGGAGCUGAGGCAUGACCAGAAAUGGUGCUCCACCUAUGUGACUAAGGACGGUGGGAGUCAAAAGCGCAAACCAGUCCAGGCGGAGGUUGAUAGACAAGCGGAAGUGGGAGAACCAGAGGAAAGACCAGUCGGGGUCAAGGCAGCUAAAGGUGUUACCAAGAAGAAGAAGAGUGCUAGAGAAGAAGAAUUGUCACAGUUACAGGGCGUGUUGGAAGUUAAAGAAAAACUCGCUAGGCAUAAGUUGCUUGAUCGUUUACUCGGGAAAAAAGAGCCUCUAUCUGAGAUGGAGACAUCUCUUAAGCUCAAACUAAUGUCUGAGAUGCUAUAAACUGAUGUUAACCGUAUGUUAAGUUGUGACUGUUGUUUUGUGUACUUGUUUACUAUUAAACUUCGCUCACUCUUGUCUUUUGUGUUGUUGCAGGGUCAUGUGAACGAAGUCACGGGUGCAUUUGGUGUUGUGAAAGUCUUUUGUUGUUUAGCUCAAGUGAAUCAAGUCACGAGAUUCUAUCUAUGUACUAUAAGUAGUUGUCAUUUGCACGUCUUUAGCUAUGUAUCUCUUUCGCUUUGCUUCCUCUUCAUCAGAACUUGUAUCUUCUUGUUUCAGUACAACAAAUUGCUUCUCUUGUAAUAUUUUCGUUUUAGUACAACAAGUUGCUUCUCUUGCUUGGAUUUCUAUCCAACGAUCUCAAGUUCUGAUUCUAUUUAACUACAACUACAUUAUCUAUAGGUAACACUGGUUCUCCUCUUUUAUAUACCGAGAUUGUGUAGUAUCUAAAUCAUUUGUAGUAUAUUCUUCAGUAACUUGUGUAGUAUAUACUUACUAAACUAGAGAAUUAUAUAAUUCAUUUGAGAAACUUUGAAGUUAAUCUGAUCACUAAACUUGUCAAGUAUAUUUGAGAAAUUUUAGUUCCAAAGUUAAUCUGAUCUCAAGUUUUGUUAAAUCAUUUGUAGUAUAUUUUUUUUGUAACAAAACUUUGGAACUAAAAUAUAGAACUAAAAACGUAUUUUUUUUUUGGAACAAAACUUUGGAAUUAAAAUAUACAACUAAAAACCUAUUUUUAAAGGAAGGAUCCCUAAAAAAUGUCAUCCUCUUCAUCCGAUGAAGUCGAAGAAAGACUGGAUGAAUUAUUCGAUGAAAUCGUCGAAGAUACAUACAACGACAUUAUGGAGGGCCAAACCUAUAAGCAAAGGAAACGUGCUUACAUAGAACGAAACCGUGAAGCCGGACACAACCGUUUAUGGAAUGACUAUUUCAGCGAAGAAGCGACAUUCUCGACACAUUUAUUCAGACGUCGUUUCCGCAUGAGUAAGGAAUUAUUCAUGCGUAUUGUCCAUGCCCUCUCAGAGAACGUUCCUUUCUUUCGACAAAGAAGAGAAGCAACCGGGAGGUUGGGCCUGUCUCCACUACAAAAAUGUAUGGCAGCUGUUCGUCUGCUUGCUUAUGGUUCUGGGGCUGACACGGUAGACGAAUAUCUUCGACUUGGAGAAAGCACGGCACUUUCGUGUCUACACCAUUUCACUGAAGGAAUAAUACUGUUAUUUGGAGAUGAGUAUCUACGAAGACCCACACCAGAGGAUCUUCAACGACUCCUCGAUAUUGGAGAGAAGCGCGGGUUUCCCGGGAUGGUAGGAAGCAUUGACUGUAUGCAUUAGGAGUGGAAGAAUUGCCCAACCGCUUGGAAAGGGCAGUACGCACGUGGAUCAGGAAACCCGACAAUUGUCUUAGAGGCUGUGGCUUCACAAAAUCUUUGGAUAUGGCACACCUUUUUUGGUCCUCCAGGUAUCUUAAACGAUAUUAAUGUCCUCGAUCGGUCUCCUAUUUUUGAUGACAUUUUUCAAGGCCGAGCUCCCAGGUUAGAGUAUGUGGUCAACGGACACAUGUAUAAGUUGACUUACUACCUCACAGACGGUAUAUAUCCCAAAUAGUCAACAUUUAUCCAAUCUAUCUCGCACCCUCAAGGUCCUAAAGCAAAGUUAUUUGCUAGAAUUCAAGAAACAACCCGAAAAGAUGUGAAACGGGCGUUUGGAGUAUUACAAGUUCGAUUUGCGAUUGUCAAAAUCCGGCUCUUUCAAUGGACAAAGAAAAGAUAGGGAAGAUUAUGAGAGCAUGUAUCAUACUACACAAUAUGAUUGUCGAAAAUAAACGAGAUGGAUACAUUCAAUUCGAUAUAUCUGAAUUUCAAGAGGGAGACGUCACUAGAAGUUCACGGUGGAUACCGACAGGCCUACAACUAUUGCUAAUAUGCUCGGCAUUCGGGAUGAUGGAUAAGCGUUUACAUCAACGUUUGAAAAAUGAUUUAAUUGAAAAUAUUUAGAACCAAUUUGUUGAUUGUUGGUUAAUAAAUAUUGUAUCUUUAUCUUUAAUAAUGCAAUAAAUAAAAAUUUUAAUUUCACUUUUAUAAAAAAGUUUAUUAUUUUUAUAUUCCUAAGAACUCCAAAUUGGAGAACAUCAUUGGACUAACAAUUCUGAUUAUGAUCCUUAACUAUUCAAAAAAAAGAAAAUAGUUAAUUAAUCCUAAGGACUCCAUUUGCUGGUACACUAUUGCGGGUGCUCUAAACAAUCCAUCAUCGGCAUUUCCUAGAAAUCAGUUCUGAUCUGAAUCUAUAAGAAAUUACAUUGUAAUAAAGGCUAACUUCCUCUCCAAGUGAUGUUUUACCUUUCAUACGGUUGUGUUGCAGUGGAUAUUAAGUUGGGAAGAAAGUAAGUGUGAGGCCAAAGUGGUUUGUUCCGGCUUGCAAUGUUUGAACUUGUUCACCCUCUUCAAGUCAAUCCUUCCUAAGAUUUGCUGUUAAUUUUGACCCGGCUGUUGCUCCGCGGCGAUAUGGAAACAUCCCUUAUAUAUUAAUUGAGGAACAUUUGAAAAGAUGUAACCUCAAUUUUGUAUUAAUUAAAAGAGGCUCCAAUGCAUAGGUGGCACUCAAUUAGGUAGUCAAUUACAUUCAAUUGAAAAAUAAGUAGGUCCACAUUCGAUUUUUAUAUGUUGUUAGAUACAUAAAUUGGUCAAACUAUAUGAUAUAAUGAUAUGAUAUGAUAUUUUCUUUCCUUAAAUAAAACCUACGGAAUUACCAUAAAUGACUAAUAUAUAUAUGACAAUUAAUGAGUUUAAUAAUAAAGAUUUGAUAACAAUGUAUAUCUCCUCCAUCAUUUUUUGUUUAAUUUUAUAUUAUUAAAAUAAAUUAAACAAUCAAAUUAGCUAUAAAAAUAAAAUUUAGAUUUUUUCGUAUAUGUUAUAUUUUGAAUUUUUAAAAACGACAAUAAAUGACUAAAACUAUUAAAAUUAUUAUGUUAAAAAUUAAUGAUCAAUUGUUUUCUAUUGUGACUGGCACGACAACACUCCAGAUCGAGGUGUGAGAACAGAUGCAUUUGGUGUUACAUCAGUAAAUUCAAGACGGAAGCUGCAAUAUUAUGAUCCUUUCAUUCUUGCUUCUCAGGCCGAUCAGGUUUGUUAUAUCAAGUACCCCCGGGUAAGGAACAGAGAUGAUCCAUGGGUUACUGUUACAAGACUCAACCCGAGAGGCCGAGUUCAGGGAAGUUCUGAGCUGGAAGACCCACUACAACCAAGCACAUCCGGCAACUUAAGUGCAGCAGAAGAUUUAGCUGGAGUUGGCCUUGUAGUCGAUUUAACCGACUUUGGAGAGGAAGCCGUCGUUCACGUAGAGGAUGAACCAGUGAUUGGAGAGUUUCACCAAGAUCCAGAUUCAGAUUCAUCUGGUGAUGAUGACUCGGAAACAGACUACCAUUGAAUAUAGAUAUGUGUUUGUUAAACCAUUAUAAAAUAUAAAUUGAUAGAUAUAUUAUAAUUUAUUUUUAAUUUAUUUGUGGCUUUAAACAAAUUUGAAAUGAUUUAAAAAAACAGGUACUAAAAAACAUGUGCAUAUUUGCUUGGAUCAAAAUUUGGCAGCCUUUAUAAUAAAUAUUUUAAGGCAUUUGACAUACGGAAACUCUUUUCAUCUGCUAUCUCUAAUUCAAUAUUUUUUUUAAAUACUGACUGCAUUACUUUCAUCGCAUGAACAACAGCCAGUGUGUUAUCCAACACUUUUAAGCUUUUACGAAAACAUCAUUUUGGAAGCUACAAAUGCUAAUAUUUUGAGACUCUUGACUCUGUUUUAUUUUAAAUUUUGUCAACAGACGACUCUGUCUUAUCUUAGAGUUUUACAUUUCCCGUUCUGAUGAAAACCAUCAUAUUAAAACUUACACAUAAGUCAAAUUAGUGGUUUCAAAUACCGAGUCCGUAAUAUGUAUUUACUGUGUUCGAACGGUUUAAUAUAUCCAUGGAAUAUAUCGUACUAUCUUAUUCACACAACAUUUAUAUUUCGAAUAAGUCAACACAACUGGUGUGUGACAUAACCGCAUAAAAUAAAAUACAUACACCAUAAAUUAUUCUGUCAUAAUUAAUAACUAGAGAUUGACCCGCACGCCCGUGCGGGUGUUAAUUUUUACUUUCUUAUAAAUCGAUAUUUUAUUUUUAUGAUUAGUAUUAUAUAUUUUAUAUGUGUCAUAAUAUAAUUAAUUGCAUAAGUACUUUUAAAUUUCUAUACAUCAUAAUCGAACCUGAAUCAAAUAGAGUAAUAUGAUUACUUUUGGUUAUUUGGUUAUUUUUAGUUUAAUUUGAAUUCAGCAUACCCGAAUUGAAUCGGUUAAUAUUCUUACUUUUCAUAUAAAUAUCCGUACCGGCGUCAAAUACAUUAGUUUUUAGAUAUUUGUAGGUUUGUAUAUAUCAAGACUGAAUUCAUCUGGACCCGAUUCAAAAUACACAUGAAAAUUUUUUAAUACUGAAAUGAAGUCUAGUUUCAAAACUCAAAAAGCAUGAUAACCCAAAGAAAUAACUCGUAACUGAAUAGUUAUCCGAAUGUCCAUGUCUAACCGAUACAUAAGUAAAUUAAAAAAAACAUUUGUUAACCAUUUUGAAUUCUUAUCACAAAUAGAGUGGUUUCAUUCAAAUAUGUCGAAUUAUUAUAGUUAAUAUGUAAAUAAUCCUGGAAAAAUAUUAUAGUAAAUAUAAUUAAUGAGAUAGUUAAAAGUGAGAAAAUGAAUAUAAAAGAUAAAAUAAAAAAAUUGAAAACAAAUAAGUUUUGUUUUUCUUGUCACUAUUAUAUAUCAUAUAUAUGUCAUCAUAUAAUUAAUCAUAUUUUAUAUGUACCAUAAUAUAAGUAAUCAUAUAACUAAUAGUAUUUUAUAUGUACCAUCAUAUAAAUAAUCACAUAUAUUAUAUUUAUAAACCUAAUAUGAAAUAUAAAAACCAUAAUUUAAGUUGGUGUUUUAAUUAAGUUUUGUAUUGUAUUUUUCUUAUAUAUAGUAAAAAUAUUUUUUUAAAUGGUUAUUGGAAAAUAUUUUAGUAAAUUGUUUUUUAAAUAUAUAUAUAUAUAUAUAUUUUUGAAUCAAUUUUUUAUAUAAAUUAGUUUUAAAUUAUUAUUUUGAUUUGAAUUUUGUAUAGUAAUAAUUAAAAGUGAGAAAAAUGAAUGUAAAAGAUAAAAUAAAAAUUGAAAACAAAUAAUUUUUUUUUUGUACUUCUGUAAUAAAUUAUAUUAACUUAUUUAGUAAAUAUAAUAGAUGAAGGGUUAGAAUUGAUUAACAAUAGAAUAAAAAUCUUUUAAAAAAUCAAUUAAGAUAAGUAAGUAUUAUUUUGUACUGCUAUCCAUGUUUCCAAACAAUUCUCAUUUAUACUACUAUCCAAGUUUCCAAACAACUCUCAAAUGUACUUCAGUUUUAAUAAUAUAGAUGAAGCCAAACUAUUGUUUCAUUCUCCAAAAUAUAAUAAAAAUAAUAACUUAAUCCCGCGCAAGGCGCGGGUCUUAUCCUAGUUAUAAGUUAUAACAUCAGAUCUUUAAAAACUGGUCAAAGAAGAAAGUUUUGAAAAAACCUAAUAAGCGAAUCAUUCCAAGAAUUGAUAUUUGUUUCUUUUUGAAGAACCUGCAUCAAAUUUCAUAAAAUAGUCAGCGUAAGAUGAAAGCAAAACCUGAAAACGAAUCACCGAUCUACAGAGACUUUAGGUACUGCCGCUUCCAAUCAAAAUAAGUGGUAUUAGGGGUUGAGACUGGGCCGACAAAAUCACUAUGUGGAGCCUUCUUAGAUCUGAAGCAAAGCAAAUGGUUACUGUAUAUCAAACCAAUAAAAGAAAGUUGAAGAUGAGAGAUGAGGAACUAAAGAGUUACUGGUGUCUUGAUGCAGCUACGAAGACCUGAUUUAUUAAUAUAUAUAGAUUUUGGCCUAUACUGUUCAGUAGACUACUAUCUCAUUGUGAAUAGAUUGAUUCGUUUGGAACAAAAAAAAAAUUCAAUUCUUUUGAUCUUUUUGGCGUAUCCUUCAGUAUCACUUUAUUAUCAAGUAGCAAGAGUAACAACAACAAAAAAACUUCUCUUUUAUUACGGUCUUCAGAGUACUUCUUAUUACAUUGGCCUCGAUCGAUUUUAAAGUACAUUAUUUAUGGAACACACACCAUCACUGCGUAGUGUUAACAUACAUCAACAACCACACUCUUCGCCGUGGUAUAUACACUCCCGAGGGUUUCGUUUGGAAUCUAGUAAGAGGGCCCAGGCAUGGUCUUCUGGAAAGGACAAAUGCUAACUUGCGGGAUGUUGCAAACUUUAGGUAAGUGCGUAGCAGUCUGGUAGAUACGGCUAAUUACUUGCUGCAGCUGCUGUCCCUGCUGUCCCUGUUGUCCUCCUUGUUGUCGAACCUGUUGUUUAACGGCUUUGGAUGCUCCUUUCAAGGUUGGGCAAACGCAGAGUGGCUCUUCCUGGUGAAGCUCGUUGCAGCACUGCUGGAGCAGCGGAGGCCUCUGCUGUGGGCCCUGGGGGUUCUCCAUGUCGUCAUCAAAAUCGAACUCACCGUCAAGGGUCCAGCUAGGACCACUACCGGACUGCAUUGCCUGCUUGUGGAGCCAUUGUUGGCAAGCUCUUAGGUGUUGUGCUUGCUGAAACUCCUUCCUACAUUUUGGAAUCCUAAAUGGGCCGGCUGGGUUUGUGGCAUCUUCAUCGACUUCCACAACCGUCCUGUAGACGGAGGCAUUGGUGAGAAGGAAGAAAAAGGCGAGAGUUGCCGAGACGAGGAAGAGCUUGUUCGCCAUUUGUGUAUGUUUUUAACUUUGUUUGUUAUGAUGAGUUUUGGUUUGAGUAAAGAGUGAAGCUGUUAAGUUAAUUUAUAGGUGAGAAUGGAGAUUUGCAUGGCGAUCACGUGUAAUAAUGCAUGCAUUUGUGUGUGUGCGCUGUGAGAGAUAAGCUCUUAUGUGUUCGAAGUGAGUGACAAGUCACUAACAAAAACAGUCAUCCGCAUCUGCAUGCUAUGUGUGAAGUGUAGCUCAUGUCCUGGCGUGACAUCUUAUGAACAAUAUUCUUAAAACAGAAUGUACAAACUUAACUUCAAAAAAUUUAAAAAAACCUUCAGUAUGUGGGGUAAGAGUCUAUAUAUACUUUGGAGGUGGUGCGGGGGCGGUUGAAAAUAUAUAUUGGGAGCUUAAUCAGAAUUCAGAAAUAGUAAAGAAGAUCUAUGUCAUGGUGGAAACUAAAUGUGUCUCGUAUAAUAUCUAACUAAGUAGUAACCCGCGUUUUGCGCGGGAUUAGAUAUCUAAUAAUAUGUUGAUUGUAUAUAUUAUGAUUAUGUACAACAUAUAAGGUGUAGCUCAAUCUCUAUAAUAUUAUUUGAGAAGUCACUUUCCUAUGUGUCGCUUCCACAUUAAUUAUCAGGAUGGUUGAUUAUACUGAUACCCUUAAUGAAUUUAAAAUAUUAAAUACUAUUAUUUAUUUAUUUUAUUUAGCUUGCUUUUAAAAAAUUUCCAAAAACAUAUACACAUAAUAAAAAGGAAUUUUUAAUAAAGUUAAAAAACGAAUUGAAAAACGAAAGAUCUCUAUAAUAUAACUAGAGUCGGCCCGCCCGAGUAUACUUUUCUUAUGAUUUAAGUUACUAUUUUUAUAUGAUUUUGUGCUUUGUGUUUUGGGUUUGCAUUUGCAAGAAAUGUGUAUAUAAUGAUUUAUGUCUUUAAAAAAGUUUUAGAUGAGAAAAGAUUAUACGUGGUAAGAUAUAUUUUACUUGUUUACAAUAAUUGUUUCUAUAUUAAAGAGUUAUGGCAUUAAUAUAUUGUGAGGGCUUCAAAUGGACGAUUUCAUAUUCGAUGUCAAAAUGGUUUAUUUUUUUCUAAUAUUAAUUCUUGUAUAGAUUAAGUAAAUAUUUUCUUAUUUAAUCUCAUACUCAUCGAUCUAAAUUGAACGGUUAUGGGAUAUUUUAAAUUUUUUGUGUUACAAUUGAAAUAAAAAGCAAAGAAAAACACAUUGGUUAAAUAUUUAAUUGGUUUAAAGAGAAUCAUGAACAGCGAUCCUUCGGAAAAAUAUUAAUUGUAUGUUUUCUAUCUCCUUUUAGAAUUUUUUUUGUCUUUUUAACUUUCUAUAUUGUUACCUCUGUAUACUUUAUAACAUUUAAUUUCUGCAAUUACUUCUUUAAAUACUUAACAUGCAGAUUUUAAUACUUUACUAUGACAUUUCCAUUUCUUUUUUUUUUUACUACAGUUAAUAGUUCUACAAAUAUAAUCACAGCUACAUCAUUCACAAUUUACAUAUUGUAAAAUAUGUAUAUAACUCUGUCAAAACAAUUUUCGUAUACUUAAAUAACUUCAUCCACUGCCACUUUCAAGCUCUCAGAGUUACAAAUCUGAAUUGAUCAUGGGUCUUAAGAUGGAGAGCAAAGCAAACCUGCAAAUAUCGCAGAAAGUUGUUAUGCCGCAGAGAACCACAUAAACCUGUAUACCCUAGUAAUAUAUUUAUAUAUAUGUUGAUAUAUAUAUAUAUAUAUAUAUAUAUAUGAUUUCAUAAAAAAAAGUUCACAAAAUAGUAAUAUUACAUUUAAAAAAUAUUUUUAAUUAACAUAAAAUAUACUUUUGAAAUAAGAAAAUACUUUAUUUAUAUCUAUAUUUUCUUAGAUGAAAAAUAUAAAUUUGUAUAUAAUGUGAUUUCAUUAAAAAUAUUUACACAGAUAAUCUUGAUAUUAGAAACAUAAAUAAUAUUUCUUUUAAAACAUAAUUUUAAACAAUACAAAAAAAAGUUCAAAGUAAUAGAAUUUUUUUUAUAUAUCCAUCUAUUUUCUUAGAUGACUAGGGGACUAGGUAAUAAUCCGCGCGAGCCUUGCGAGGAAUAUGAUUAUUAGUUUCGUUAUUUUUAAUAAAAAGACAUUAAAUCAGUUUAAUCUGGAUAUUAGUUCGGUAUUAAGUUUUUUUUCGUUUUUAAUCUUCUAAAAUAUAACUAUUAUUUUAAAUUAAUAUUCAUUUUAGUAUAUUCGGUUAAAAUAUUUGAAUUUUGGUUUUUUUUCCGGUAAAAACCAAAAUUAAUAUUAUUUAUUUAUUUUCAUGUUAUAAAUUUUAGAUAGUCGUCAUGUCGAACCAAUAGUUUCUAAACAGAUAAUAGUUUAAGAAAAAGAAAAGAAAAUUAUUAAGACAAAUCAUUUCACUACAAUUUGGUCGGUAGUGAAAGAAGCAUUAAGAAAUAAUAUUUCAACUUUUAAAAAAAUUAGAUACUUCAUUUGUGGUGAAUACUUAGUUACAAGGUAUUCACAUCAAGGUGCACAUAUAUGUGUAUGUAAAAAGUAUAUAAAAAUAGUUGACAAAUAUAUAAAUAUAUUGUUAAUUAAUAUUAAAUGAUAUUUUUUUUUCAUAAUAAUUAUGGGUGGGCGUUCGGAUACCCAUUCGGGCUCAGUUUGGAUCUAUUCGCGUUUCGGGUUUUCGGUUUAAAGAUUUCAGCCCCAUUCGGGUAUUUCUAAAUUUCGGUUCGGAUCCUUGCGGGUUCGGUUCGGAUUCGGAUAACCCAUUUAAAUUAUUUUUAAAAUUUUAAUAUUCAUUUUAUGCUUAAAAUUUCUCAAAAUCUAUAAAACAAAAUAAUAUAUUACAUAGAAUUUGUAUAAUAUAUGUCAAAAUAUCUAAAAUUUACAUAUAAAUUGGUUUGAUUUGAAUAUUUUGAUACAAAAUCAAUUGAUAUUUUAAGUAUUUUGGUGCUUUGAAUAUAUUUUAGCUAUUUUAGACAUUUACUUUUGACUAUUUAUGUAUAUUUUCAAGUUUUUUAGACAACUUAAAAAUAUCUUAUAUAUUUUAGAUGUGUUUAAUAUAUAUAUUAAAUCUAAAAAUAAGUAAUAUAUUUAGGUAUAUAAAUCUAUUUCGGUUAUGUUUGGGUACCCGAGAUAUUUCGGUUCGGGUCGGGUUCGGUUUCGAUUCUUUAGAUACCAAAAUAUUGAACCUGUUCGGAUAUUUAAUCAAUUUUGGUUCGGGUUCGGUACUACUUUUUCAGAUCGGGUUCGGUUCAGUUCUUCGGAUCCGGGUUUUUUGCCCAGCCCUAAUAAUAAUACAUGAAAGAUAAAAUUAAAAUUAAUUUAAAAUAAAAAAGGCUUUGACAUUAUUCAUUUUUUAUAUAUAAAGAAAAUAAAUUUGUAUCCGUAAACAGGGGUGGAUACAGAUCAAAUAUCUGGGUAUUUGGAAGCAUUCGUGUCGAUUCGAUCUUUAGCCACCUAGAUAUUUAGUGACUCGGAUAACCGAAAUGUUUUAGAAUUUUUAAAAAUAUAAUAAAUUUAAUUCAUAAAAAAUAUUGUAAAACUGAUAUAAAGUAUAAUAUAUAUAACGUAUAUAUAUAAUUUUUUACAUAUAUGUAUAUAUAGAUAUGCAUAUAACAUAUCGAACUAGAUAUAUGUUCCUAAAAAUAUUGGUAUUUGUGAUUUGCUUCUUUUUUGGAUAUUGUAUUUUAGUAUUUGAUUUGUUUCGUAGUGUUACAGAUAUCCAGAUUUUUUGGUUCAAAUCAAAACAUAUAACGAAUCAAAUCAAAAUUUAUGAAUAUUUUGCUCAAUUUUAUCCGUAAACAAUAAAAAUAAUAUAUAUAUAGUUUAGCUUUUGAUUCGUUAUCUAUUUUUAUUCAAACAAAAAAAUCCAGAGUUUUAUUGAAACUAUGUAUGUGAGUUUUAUAUUAAAAAAAUCGCAAAAUACAUAGUGUGAAUACAUUUAUGAAUAUAAUGUGAACGCGUUAACAUACUUAUUAUCAAAUCAUUGUAAGACUGUCACGUGUCUAGUGUGGAUACAUUUAUUGCAAUGCUUUUUUUUUAAUAUAUAAGGGAUAAAUGCACUAGUGCCUCUUGUGUAACUGUAACCAGGGACGAAUGUGAUGCAGCUCAAUCUCUGAUCGCACACAAUCAACACGAGACUGCCAAGGUUCACGACUCUCUUCCAUAUAGGAAUUUCCUUUUAUAUUAAAGUCGGUUUUAACUUUCCUUUUUAGGUGUUUUCGUUUUCCUUUUAGAAAGAGGAGUUAACUAAUCCUCCUAUAGGUUUAUGUUUUUCGUUUCUAGUAUUUAAAGGGUCCUAAUCAAGCUUGUAAGGUCACGAUUGGUUAAUAUUGAAUACAUCUUUAGAGUUUUUAAAAAGCUUUAACAAGCGCUGCGAAGAGUAUUCGCGUCCUAUUAUCCUUGUGUCCGAGUUACCUUCAAGAACAUGUUACCAAUCUAGUGAUCAAACCCUUGAUCCCUAGGUUUCCUAGCUUCCGCUCUCCAUCAGAAUAUAUAGGUGCACUUGUAGUCUUGUACCCACUAUUUUUUCUAAAAAGAAAUAUUUUCUAAAAAAAUGUUAAAAUCUAACAAAAAUGGGCAAAACUAACCUAGCAACCAGUAUUUUGUUGGUUUGCCUCCUCUGCUUUCACCAUUUUAUUUGUUCUUCUCUUUACAUUUACUUCAAUCAAUGUUAAAUUUAUUUGAUUUAAAAGAAUUUAUAAAAUGGAUGCAACACUAACUAGGCCUAGUAAAAUAAUCAUGUUGAAUUUUCGAAGGGCAUGCUGAUGUUGUUCUCUAUGCUUUCCUCCAUUACGUUUACGCCAAAUAGUGUACACCACUAGAGUCGGGCAUGUAGACAGUAUUAUAAAAAAAAUUGAAUGGAACACCCACUUUACAAGAGCCCUACUACAAAAAUUGUAUAUAUGUAUUUAUAUUUUUGAUAUAAUAACAUAGAUAUAUUAACUGUAAAAUAUUGAUAAAAAAUUUAGUUGAUAAAAAUAUAUUAAAUGAUCUAUACUAUUAUUUGCGAAGUAAUUUUUAGCAACGAAACUCUCACGUUGAAAGUUAGAGUUGUUAAUAUCUAUAUUACUCUUAAUGAAUUUUAUGUAUAUAUAUUAAUUAUAUAAUCAAAAACGAAUUUUGAUUAAUAAUGUCUUAUAUAUUAAAAGAGAAGUCACAACCUUGAUUCAUGUGUGAUUUUUUUAAAAAUGGACUAUCACUAGAAAGAAGUUAUGUUUCAUUUAUUUCUUAGUAACAUUUUGCUAUAAUUAAUUAAUCACAUAAUAAUAAUCGACUAUUAUAACAACUUUUUCCUAUAAAGCCGGCUCCGUUUAUGAAAACAUUUUAACCGAUAAAUCACCUAAUAUAUGUCGAUUUGGAGCUGUGCUUUACGCUCUUGUAUGCCCUAAACCUCCACCCACUGCGACUCCUUAGCAAGUUAAACUCUUUAAAGAAAUAACCUGUCCUUCAGUACUGCGUAAGAGAUCUUCUAUCAAAAGAAAAAUUGUUAGCGAAGCUCAGAAAACGUUUUGUAUCUCUCAUGCUAAUCAGUAUGUUGAAGCUGGAACUUACUUGCGUGUGCACGUUUAACCAAAACGUUCCCCAAGGUACACUGUUAGAAAACUGUUUGAAAAUUGGAAAGCUUUGGUGAUAAUAUUCACUGCACACAUGAUGGAUUGUAUCAGGUAUUAUGAAAUUGACUGGAAGUCGCGGAUUAUUGCUGUGACUGACUCUUCUUAUGUCGUUUUGGAUAAACUUGCCGGGACUACGGUACUUUUAUUCAUCCAUUGCACUAUCUCUUCUCAAUGUUCUUGACCACUGUAGUUUCACUAGAGAUCUUUAAAGAACUUUCUCUUGUGAAUAUUGUUAGUCUCAGUUUUAUACAUUUUGGGAUUGUACCAGAAUGUAUUUUUGUGUUCUAUUUCUUGGUAAUGAGGAUCGAAAAACAAUUCAUUCGAUCUUAAAACUUUAGAUACUAAAAAGCCAGGGUUCUCAGUGAUUCAGUGUGCUGACCCACAUGACCACAAUAAUUCAGUUUCUCAGGUUGGGGAAACCACAGAUAAUAUCGAAGAGAGCUGUGCGACAUUUUCCUUAUGUGCAUUAGAUUCCGCAGAACCACUGAAACAACACAUCAGAUUGAUAACUGCACAAAAGGCUGUACUUUCCCUUUUAAAACUUUUCUGCUUCAUACUUUUGCAGAUUUUUUUACUAAAAUUUGUAGAUUUAACUUCUUGAAAUGACCAGGUCGCAUUGCUUUUUUACUUUCUCUGUAGUAUAAUCUUUGCUAGGACAAAAGAGUAUUGAUCGGUCUUCCUCACAGAAAUACGAGUGAGUUUGCUUUGCUUCUAUUUCGUUUGACUGGAAAAUCAAGAAGACAUGGUGAAAUAUUUCAUUAUUUUCUAUAUGUUUUUACUUCUUUUCAAGAAUAAGGAGGUGAGGAAACUUCGUCGUGCUGUUGAGUCUUGAUACGGCCGUUGUAGUUCGAACUCUAACGGUCUAACCUAUGAUAAGUGGAAUAAAUCCUUGAUUUGUUUAUAGUUAUGAGUUUGGUUUUGCUGUGUACUUGGUCAUUUCAUAGCUCAGACCCAACAUAUAUACCCUCUCAUCCGACCACCAAAUAAUAUCCCAUCCAACCCAACACCUACAAUACAAUAUUAAGCUUCUUGAAUUAAGUCCUACUUAUUGAGUAACUAGCCUCUCUAUUUUGACUUGGGGUGCAUUGAACAACUCUGAUUAGUUAUUUCUUCAAAAUGAUUCUCAAUAUUUGUCUAUUGUGUAAUAUUUUAACUCGGUGUUUCUUAUAUUUUUAAAUUAAAAUAAAUUUAAAAAUAAAAUUUAUUAAUAUUGUAGAUUUUAUUAUUUUACCAAGUUUUAAUAGAAAUUUUAUUUAAUUAAGCAUUAUUAUUAAAAUUAAAAAUAAUUUUGCUUAUUUUAAAAUAUAUUUAAGAAUAUAUAUAGUUCUAUAUUAAAAAUAAUAAUCUUCGCUAAAAUUUUAUCUAUUUAUUUUGGUUAAAUAUAUUAAAUCAACCUUUUUUUUUGAAUUAAAUCAACCUUUAUAAAACUAAUAAAAUGAUAUACAAUUGUAUAAUUAUCAAAAAUAAAACUAAACAAUAUUUAUAAAGAAAACUUAGAUAUUAUAAAAGAAACUAAUGAUAUUACGAUUAAAUUUUGCUUAAAAUAAUAUAGAACGUUUUAAAAAAAUUAGUAAUAAAAAUUGUAUAAUUAUAAAAAUAGAAUAAAUCAUCUUUAGAAAUUUAGAAAAUCAUAUCUGAAUAUAUUUAUUUUAACAAUGAUGUAUGAAUUAUUACCAUAUUUUGAUAUACGAGUUAUUAUUAUAUUCUAAAAAUUUCAAUAUUUUAAUACAUUAGUAAUACGUUAAAUAUUUUAAUAUUAUAAUAUAUAUCACGAAUGUUGCAAAAAAAAUGUUUACGUAAUGGAAAUAAAUACCCGCGCUGUUGCGCGGGUCAAGAUCUAGUUAACUUGUUAAAACAAUAAGAUAAUUCUUAUAUAUUAUGUUGUUAUCUUAAAACAUAUGUUUCAAUUAUAAAUUUUAAAAAUAAAAUAUAAAACAAAGUUAGAGUGGUUAAUAUCUAUAUUACCCUUAAUGAAUUUUAUGUAUAUAUAUUAAUUAUAUAAUCAAAAACGAAUUUUGAUUAAUAAUAUUAACUUUUUAAAACAAUAAGAUAAUUCUUAUAUAUUGUGUUGUUAUCUUAAAACAUAUUCUUAUAUAUAUAUGUUUUAUUUUAAAAAAUAUAUAAAACAAUUAAUAAAUUUUAAUUAAACAUAUAUAUUUAAUUAACUUUGUUAUAUAUAUUUAUGUUUUAUUUAAUUUUUUGAAAACAUAAAUAAUAAGUUAUUAUGCUGAUUUUGAAUUAAAAAAAAUAAACUAAUAAAUAGUUGUAAAACGAUUAAGCCUGCAUAUGCGGGCAAGACACUUAGUUUUGUUAUUAUUAUUGUAGUUUAGAUAUAAAUAAGUAAUAUACUACAAAAUUAUGUUUUUGUAAACAAAAUUUUAUUUAUAAAUUUUACAAAAAAAUUAAAUAAUUAAUAAAUAUUUUUUCGAAUAAAGUCGCGGAAAUCGUUUUUUUAAAAGAAAUCUUAAGACCCACCACUCCGUGAAAGGAUGCAACUAACAAAGAGGGAGGGUCAGCUGACCCCACAAAAUAAUUAUUAAACAUUAAAGAUAAAUUUAAUUAUACAACUAAAAUAUUUAUACAUUUUUAUCUUUAAAACUUAAGAUAUGUUAGUUUUAAUCUCAUUUUUUUAUAGUUAAAAAAAAUUAUAACGCUGAUAUAAGAAAAAAAAAAUUCUGAUCUGGUAUAAAAUAUUUCGGGCUCCGGCGGACUGCAUGAAACAUGUAUUGCAAUGUAAAGAGAAUGGUAAUGUCCCAACCAUCAUCCACCAAGAAGAGUUGAACAAUAUAUAGUAUCCCAGCGGUUAGAGUAUUUAGCAUUUAUUAAAAGUUAUAGAUGAUCAAUGGUACAGAAAUUUACUACCUUUGCUAUCAAAGUACUGUUUAUAAGUAAAGGCAACAUCAGUAAUUAAUAUUUGCAGGAAUUUACAGAUGCAUGGUGAUCAAAAAGAGUUUCGAAGUAUCUGAUCAUACCAGAUUAAUUUGAGUCAUUGGUUGAUCCCAGUGGAUAAUCUUUUAUUAUUGGCCUCGAAGGCUUUAAUUAACAUUUAGUCUAUUCUGUUCAUUGGACUACUUGUGAAUAGAUUAAUUGUUCUGUUCUUUUUGGCGCAUCCUUAAUUAUCACUUUUUAUGAAGUAGCAAGAGUAACAAAAAUUAAAAAACACCUCUUUUAUUACGGUCUACGAGUAGUUCUUAUUACAUUAGCCGCGAUUUUAAAGUACAUUAUUUAUGGAACACAUACCAUGGCUGCGUAGUGUUAACAUACAUCAACAACCACACCCAUCAUCGUGGUAUAUACACUCAGAGGGUUUCGUUUUGAAUCUAGUAGGAGGGGCCAGGCAUGGUCUUCUGGAAGGGACAAACGCUAACUUGCGGGAUGUUGCAAACUUUAGGUAAGUGAGUAGCGGUCUGGUAGAUUCGGCUAAUUACAUGCUGCAUCUGCUGUCCCUGCAUUUGUCCCUGUUGUCGAACCUGCUGUUUAACGGCUUUGGAUGCUCCUUUCAAGGUUGGGCAAACGCAAAGUGGCUCUUCCUGGUGGAGCUCGUUGCAGCACUGCUGGAGUAGUGGCGGCCUCUGUUGUGGGCCCUGGGGGUUCUCCAUGUCAUCUUCAAAAUCAAACUCACCAUCGAGGGUCCAGCUAGGACCACUACCGGACUGCAUUGCCUGCUUGUGGAGCCAUUGUUGGCAAGCUUUCAGGUGUUGUGCUUGCUGAAACUCCUUCCUACAUUUUGGAAUCCUAAAUGGGCCCGCUGGGUUUGUGGCAUCUUCAUCGACUUCCACAACCGUCCUGUAGACGGAGGCAUUGGUGAGAAGGAAGAAAAAGGCGAGAGUUGCCGAGACGAGGAAGAGCUUGUUCGCCAUUUGUGUAUGUUUUUAACUUUGUUUGUUAUGAUGAG
Molecule: long non-coding RNA, 22571 nt
Filed under: Brassica napus (rape)
Lineage: Eukaryota; Viridiplantae; Streptophyta; Magnoliopsida; Brassicales; Brassicaceae
Description: long non-coding RNA (BNAP_LNC008546)
Source: RNAcentral